UGGCGGACGGGUGAGUAAUGUCUGGGAAACUGCCCGAUGGAGGGGGAUAACUACUGGAAACGGUAGCUAAUACCGCAUAACGUCGCAAGACCAAAGAGGGGGACCUUCGGGCCUCUUGCCAUCGGAUGUGCCCAGAUGGGAUUAGCUAGUAGGUGGGGUAACGGCUCACUUAGGCGACGAUCCCUAGCUGGUCUGAGAGGAUGACCAGCCACACUGGAACUGAGACACGGUCCAG
This 235-nucleotide ribosomal RNA is filed under the name uncultured bacterium. RNAcentral's name for it is "partial 16S ribosomal RNA". It matches the Rfam family "Bacterial small subunit ribosomal RNA", at positions 96 to 334 of the family's 1533-position model. The record is from RNAcentral.